GCAGUCGAACGAAGCACUUAAACCUGAUUCUUCGGAUGAAGGUUUUUCUGACUGAGUGGCGGACGGGUGAGUAACGCGUGGGUAACCUGCCUCAUACAGGGGGAUAACAGUUAGAAAUGACUGCUAAUACCGCAUAAGACCACGGAGCCGCAUGGCUCAGUGGGAAAAACUCCGGUGGUAUGAGAUGGACCCGCGUCUGAUUAGGUAGUUGGUGGGGUAACGGCCUACCAAGCCAACGAUCAGUAGCCGACCUGAGAGGGUGACCGGCCACAUUGGGACUGAGACACGGCCCAAACUCCUACGGGAGGCAGCAGUGGGGAAUAUUGCACAAUGGGGGAAACCCUGAUGCAGCGACGCCGCGUGAGCGAAGAAGUAUUUCGGUAUGUAAAGCUCUAUCAGCAGGGAAGAAAAUGACGGUACCUGACUAAGAAGCACCGGCUAAAUACGUGCCAGCAGCCGCGGUAAUACGUAUGGUGCAAGCGUUAUCCGGAUUUACUGGGUGUAAAGGGAGCGUAGACGGCUGUGUAAGUCUGAAGUGAAAGCCCGGGGCUCAACCCCGGGACUGCUUUGGAAACUAUGCAGCUAGAGUGUCGGAGAGGUAAGUGGAAUUCCCAGUGUAGCGGUGAAAUGCGUAGAUAUUGGGAGGAACACCAGUGGCGAAGGCGGCUUACUGGACGAUGACUGACGUUGAGGCUCGAAAGCGUGGGGAGCAAACAGGAUUAGAUACCCUGGUAGUCCACGCCGUANACGAUGACUACUAGGUGUCGGGGANCAAAGCUCUUCGGUGCCGCAGCAAACGCAAUAAGUAGUCCACCUGGGGAGUACGUUC
RNAcentral lists this ribosomal RNA (829 nucleotides) under uncultured bacterium. Its description in RNAcentral is "bacterial SSU rRNA". It matches the Rfam family "Bacterial small subunit ribosomal RNA", at positions 57 to 887 of the family's 1533-position model. The record is from RNAcentral.